Small nucleolar RNA from Bufo bufo (common toad), 71 nucleotides. RefSeq annotates it as small nucleolar RNA SNORD18. NCBI's taxonomy places the organism in Eukaryota, Metazoa, Chordata, Amphibia, Anura, Bufonidae. The transcript has a single exon. The record is from RefSeq and is a predicted model, not a curated record.
GAGGAAUGAUGAUCUUCCACUUCAUUGGUCCGUGUUUCUGAAACCUGUGAUUUCAUGGAAGUUCUGACCUU